GACGAACGCUGGCGGCGUGCUUAACACAUGCAAGUCGAGCGGUAAGGCCCUUUCGGGGGUACACGAGCGGCGAACGGGUGAGUAACACGUGGGUGACCUGCCCUUAGCUCUGGGAUAAGCCUGGGAAACUGGGUCUAAUACCGGAUAUGACUCCAUGACGCAUGUUGUGGGGUGGAAAGCCUUGUGCGGCUAGGGAUGGGCCUGCGGCCUAUCAGCUUGUUGGUGGGGUGAGGCCUACCAAGGCGACGACGGGUAGCCGGCCUGAGAGGGCGACCGGCCACACUGGGACUGAGACACGGCCCAGACUCCUACGGGAGGCAGCAGUGGGGAAUCUUGCGCAAUGGGCGAAAGCCUGACGCAGCGACGCCGCGUGGGGAUGACGGCCUGGUUGUAA
This 394-nucleotide ribosomal RNA is filed under the name uncultured bacterium. RNAcentral's name for it is "bacterial SSU rRNA". It matches the Rfam family "Bacterial small subunit ribosomal RNA", at positions 28 to 428 of the family's 1533-position model. The record is from RNAcentral.